RNAcentral lists this ribosomal RNA (550 nucleotides) under uncultured bacterium. Its description in RNAcentral is "bacterial SSU rRNA". It matches the Rfam family "Bacterial small subunit ribosomal RNA", at positions 355 to 896 of the family's 1533-position model. The record is from RNAcentral.
UAGGGAAUCUUCGGCAAUGGACGGAAGUCUGACCGAGCAACGCCGCGUGAGUGAAGAAGGUUUUCGGAUCGUAAAGCUCUGUUGUAAGAGAAGAACGAGUGUGAGAGUGGAAAGUUCACACUGUGACGGUAUCUUACCAGAAAGGGACGGCUAACUAUGUGCCAGCAGCCGCGGUAAUACGUAGGUCCCGAGCGUUGUCCGGAUUUAUUGGGCGUAAAGCGAGCGCAGGCGGUUAGAUAAGUCUGAAGUUAAAGGCUGUGGCUUAACCAUAGUACGCUUUGGAAACUGUUUAACUUGAGUGCAAGAGGGGAGAGUGGAAUUCCAUGUGUAGCGGUGAAAUGCGUAGAUAUAUGGAGGAACACCGGUGGCGAAAGCGGCUCUCUGGCUUGUAACUGACGCUGAGGCUCGAAAGCGUGGGGAGCAAACAGGAUUAGAUACCCUGGUAGUCCACGCCGUAAACGAUGAGUGCUAGGUGUUAGACCCUUUCCGGGGUUUAGUGCCGCAGCUAACGCAUUAAGCACUCCGCCUGGGGAGUACGACCGCAAGGUUG